AGUGCUUGCACUUCGCUGACGAGUGGCGGACGGGUGAGUAAUGCUUGGGAACUUGCCUUUGCGAGGGGGAUAACAGUUGGAAACGACUGCUAAUACCGCAUAAUGUCUACGGACCAAACGGGGCUUAGGCUCCGGCGCAAAGAGAGGCCCAAGUGAGAUUAGCUAGUUGGUAAGGUAAAGGCUUACUAAGGCAACGAUCUCUAGCUGUUCUGAGUGGAAGAUCAACCACACUGGGACUGAGACACGGUCCAGACUCCUACGGGAGGCUCCAGUGGGGAAUAUUGCACAAUGGGGGAAACCCUGAUGCAGCCCUGCCGCGUGAGUGAAGAAGGCCUUCGGGUUGUAAAGCACUUUCAGUUGUGAGGAACAGUUAGUAUUUAAUACCUGCUAGCCGUGACGUUGACGACAGAAGAAGCGCCGGCUAACUCCGUGCCAGCAUCCGCGGUAAUACGGAGGGUGCGAGCGUUAUUCGGAAUUACUGGGCGUAAAGCGCACCCAGGCGGCUUGUUAAGCUACAUGUGAAAGCC
RNAcentral lists this ribosomal RNA (527 nucleotides) under Alteromonas sp. PB12. Its description in RNAcentral is "bacterial SSU rRNA". It matches the Rfam family "Bacterial small subunit ribosomal RNA", at positions 75 to 602 of the family's 1533-position model. Lineage: Bacteria; Pseudomonadati; Pseudomonadota; Gammaproteobacteria; Alteromonadales; Alteromonadaceae. The record is from RNAcentral.